ACUCCUACGGGAGGCAGCAGUGGGGAAUAUUGCACAAUGGGGGAAACCCUGAUGCAGCCAUGCCGCGUGUGUGAAGAAGGCCUUCGGGUUGUAAAGCACUUUCAGUAGGGAGGAAGGUAGUGUAGUUAACACCUGCAUUAUUUGACGUUACCUACAGAAGAAGCACCGGCUAACUCCGUGCCAGCAGCCGCGGUAAUACGGAGGGUGCGAGCGUUAAAUCGGAAUUACUGGGCGUAAAGCGCAUGCAGGCGGCCUGUUAAGUCAGAUGUGAAAGCCCGGGGCUUAACCUCGGAAUUGCAUUUGAAACUGGCAGGCUAGAGUCUUGUAGAGGGGGGUAGAAUUUCAGGUGUAGCGGUGAAAUGCGUAGAGAUCUGAAGGAAUACCAGUGGCGAAGGCGGCCCCCUGGACAAAGACUGACGCUCAGAUGCGAAAGCGUGGGGAGCGAAAACAGGUUUAGAUACCCUGGUAGCACAGAG
RNAcentral lists this ribosomal RNA (476 nucleotides) under uncultured bacterium. Its description in RNAcentral is "bacterial SSU rRNA". It matches the Rfam family "Bacterial small subunit ribosomal RNA", at positions 335 to 799 of the family's 1533-position model. The record is from RNAcentral.